GAUGAAGAACGCAGCGAAAUGCGAUAAGUAAUGUGAAUUGCAGAAUUCAGUGAAUCAUCGAAUCUUUGAACGCACAUUGCGCCCGCCAGUAUUCUGGCGGGCAUGCCUGUUCGAGCGUCAUUUCAACCAUCAAGCCCCCGGGCUUGUGUUGGGGACCUGCGGCUGCCGCAGGCCCUGAAAAGCAGUGGCGGGCUCGCUGUCACACCGAGCGUAGUAGAUUUUAUCUCGCUCAGGGCGUGCUGCGGGUUCCGGCCGUUAAACCCCCUUCAUAACCCAAGGUUGACCUCGGAUCAGGUAGGAAGACCCGCUGAACUUAAGCAUAUCAAUAAGCGGAGGA
Molecule: unclassified non-coding RNA, 337 nt
Filed under: soil metagenome
Description: partial contains 5.8S ribosomal RNA, internal transcribed spacer 2, and large subunit ribosomal RNA
Rfam family: 5.8S ribosomal RNA (bases 1-120)
Source: RNAcentral